Molecule: non-coding RNA, 815 nt
Organism: Schizosaccharomyces pombe (fission yeast)
Lineage: Eukaryota; Fungi; Ascomycota; Schizosaccharomycetes; Schizosaccharomycetales; Schizosaccharomycetaceae
Source: the annotation of a GenBank genome assembly
CAGAUUUCCUCUAAUUUUUUAAGCUACUUAUUACUUUCUGUUGCAAGUAAAAAAUCAUGAAUUUUAAGGCUCAGUGUAUAAGGGUUUGCAUAUAAUUCAGUUCUCGUUUUGUGCUGCAUAUUUAAUUUUUUGAGUAGUCAAAAAAAUUAGCACAAGUUGUAAACUUCACAUUGUCCACUCGUGGUGGCGUGUUAAAAAAUUACUUGAUGUUUUAAACUAAUACUUCUUAUUUCGCAUUCAUAAAAAACAAUGUUGAGAAUAAUCAUGUAUGGUGGUUGUACAAAUGAAAACGGGUCAAUUCAAAAUGCAUUUCAUAUCCGUCUCAUUCUAAAUUUUUCGUUAUUUAGUCGCUUCGAAUUAUUGACUUUGUUUACUGUACGAACUGUUUUCUUUAUUUAGCGCAUAUUGAAGAUAUUUGCAUACUUUUUAGGAACUUUGUUUCUUCCUACAAACUCAAUUCGUUACAGAAAUAACAUUGCUUUGUCUUUCCAAUUAAUAACAAGUCGUAAAUUUGUAAAGGAAUAAAAAUUUUAUUGUUCAUUCUUACUUUUCCAUGUUCCUUUACAUAUCUUCGUGCAAUUACUAAAAGAAUAUUAAAAGUCAAAUUUGAAAAUUUCGCCCUUCAAUUAUGAUGAUGGUGAGAAAUUGGUAGUCAAGAUGCUAAUUAUCAUCUAAUUUAGCGUGAAAAUUACCAGUGAAAAAACAUAAAUUAUUUAUUAUGAGACAAUCAAUAUGCCUAUCGCUUACAAAAUAUACAUUUAAAUACACCGUUGGUUUGAUGAUGAAUCCGAUACCUUAAAAGUAGAAGCAGAUGA